AACGAACGCUGGCGGCAUGGUUAGACAUGCAAGUCGAGCGCGAAAGUUUCCUUCGGGAAGCGAGUAGAGCGGCGGAAGGGCGAGUAAUGCAUGGGAACGUACCUCUUGCACGGGGAUAGCUCACCGAAAGGUGGGGUAAUACCCGAUGAUACCGCAACGGCAAAGGUGGGGACCCCUUCGGGGGCCUCCCGGCGAGAGAGCGGCCCAUGUCCUAUCAGCUUGUUGGUGAGGUAAUGGCUCACCAAGGCUACGACGGGUACCGGGACUGAGAGGUUGACCCGGCGCAUUGGGACUGAGACACUGCCCAGACUCCUACGGGAGGCUGCAGUAACGAAUAUUCCACAAUGGACGAAAGUCUGAUGGAGCAAUGCCGCGUGUGGGACGAAGCACUUCGGUGUGUAAACCACUGUCAGGGACUACCAAGUAAUAGAGGCUAAUAUCCUCUUGCGUUGAGGAGUCCCACAGGAAGCCACGGCUAACUUCGUGCCAGCAGCCGCGGUAAUACGAAGGUGGCUAGCGUUGUUCGGAAUCACUGGGCUUAAAGCGCAUGUAGGCGGCUGUGCAAGCGUCGGGUAAAAUCCCUCGGCUCAACCGAGGAACGGCUCGGCGAACUGCACAGCUUGAGGCAGGUAGGGGUGUAUGGAACUCUUGGUGGAGCGGUGAAAUGCGUAGAUAUCAAGAGGAACGCCGGAGGCGAAAGCGAUACACUGGGCCUGUCCUGACGCUGAGAUGCGAAGGCUAGGGUAGCGAACGGGAUUAGAUACCCCGGUAGUCCUAGCUGUAAACGAUGCCUACUAGGUCGGAGGCCUUCUGACAGGUUUCCGGUCGUAACUAAAGCGAUAAGUAGGCCGCCUGGGGAGUACGGUCGCAAGGCUAAAACUCAAAGGAAUUGACGGGGGCCCGCACAAGCGGUGGAGUAUGUGGUUUAAUUCGACGCAACGCGCAGAACCUUACCCGGCCUUGACAUCGAGGGAAAGCCUUUAGAAAUAAAGGCCCUCCCCUUCGGGGGACCCAAAGACAGGUGCUGCAUGGCUGUCGUCAACUCGUGUCGUGAGAUGUUGGGUUAAGUCCCGCAACGAGCGCAACCCCUAUCCGUUAGUUGCCAGCGAGUAAUGUCGGGCACUCUAGCGAGACUGCCGUCGUCAAGACGGAGGAAGGCGGGGAUGACGUCAAUUCCUCAUGGCCCUUAUGGUCGGGGCUACACACGUACUACAAUGGGCGGUACAGAGCGCAGCGAACUCGCGAGAGUAAGCGAAUCGCAGAAAACCGUCCUUAGUUCGGAUUGCAGUCUGCAACUCGACUGCAUGAAGUCGGAAUCGCUAGUAAUCGCGGAUCAGCAUGCCGCGGUGAAUCCGUUCCCGGGCCUUGUACACACGCCCGUCACACCAUGGGAGUGGAUUGCACCAGAAGUGGGUGAGCUAACCUUCG
RNAcentral lists this ribosomal RNA (1428 nucleotides) under uncultured prokaryote. RNAcentral describes it as "partial 16S ribosomal RNA". It matches the Rfam family "Bacterial small subunit ribosomal RNA". The record is from RNAcentral.